RNAcentral lists this long non-coding RNA (227 nucleotides) under Cavia porcellus (domestic guinea pig). RNAcentral's name for it is "lncRNA (ENSCPOG00000032094.1)". Lineage: Eukaryota; Metazoa; Chordata; Mammalia; Rodentia; Caviidae. The record is from RNAcentral.
CCUGGAUAAGCCUGGGGUGCAAAUGUGAGCAGGUAGCUGUGGACCAGAAAGAAUGAACCCCAGGAAAGUCAGUGUGGUGAGACCGCGUGUGGCAGCGGGAGCAGCAUCUGGACACCCAGAAAAAGAAAUGAAUGCAUGAGUUCUGAGAGCAGUGAGAACAGUAUGGCACUGAUGUUCAAUGAAUAUCCGCAUCACAAACCGACCACAGAAUAUAUCCUGCCUGAAGA